Long non-coding RNA from Gallus gallus (chicken), 747 nucleotides. RefSeq lists it as uncharacterized. The transcript is spliced from 3 exons. The record is from RefSeq and is a predicted model, not a curated record. NCBI's taxonomy places the organism in Eukaryota, Metazoa, Chordata, Aves, Galliformes, Phasianidae.
AAGGAGGAGCAGCUCAGCAAGCUUGGCCUGGGCCGUGGGAGGGAGCAUGCAGACAUCUGGACCAACCGGCAAUGAGUUAGUUCUUGAGUGGUCUGUGGGGCCAGGAGAGGGGGGAAAUGGCCCUAAACUGGAGUACAGGAAGUUCUGCACCGACGUGAGAAGGAACUUGUUCACAGCGAGGUGACGGAGCACUGGUACAGGCUGCCCAGGGAGGCUGUGGAUUCUCCUUCCCUGGAGAUACUCCAGACCCAGCUGGAUGCCCACCUGUGCAGCCUGCUGUACGGAACCUGUUGAGCAGAGGGGGGAGUUGGACUCGAUGAUCUCUAGGGAUCCCUUCCGGCCCCUACAGUUCUGUGAUUCUGUGAUUGUAAUCGUUGCUUCUUGCAGCAGUAGAGUGUUUCAGAAGAGAGAAAAUCAUGGCGGCCAUGAGCUGGCUUUCUGUGGUUGGUAAAGCUGUGCUGAGAUCUGGGCUGACUAUUGCAGCUGAAAAUGCGUGCCAAGUCUGCAGACACAGAGGAAUAACUUUUCCAUGUAGGUUGAGCUUGUCUAAGCUUUUGUGGUACAAAGAAGCACGGCAAGGUGAUGGAACAGCUUGUCCUAGAUGCCAUGGCCAAGCAGUUGGAGAAGAAGAAGAUCAUCAGGAAUAGUCAGCAUGGAUUUAGCAAGGGGAAAGUGUGCUUGAGCAACCUCCUAGGCUUCUGUGAGGCAUCAGCAGCUAUAUAGAUGGCGGGAGAGCAAUGGAUGUAG